Nelumbo nucifera (sacred lotus) is the source of this 73-nucleotide non-coding RNA. Lineage: Eukaryota; Viridiplantae; Streptophyta; Magnoliopsida; Proteales; Nelumbonaceae. The record is from Rfam.
GCCUUCUUAACUCAACCRGUAGAGAGCAUGGCUUUUAACCAAGUGGUCGUGGGUUCAAUUCCCAUAGACGGCA